Molecule: long non-coding RNA, 379 nt
Filed under: Rattus norvegicus (Norway rat)
Lineage: Eukaryota; Metazoa; Chordata; Mammalia; Rodentia; Muridae
Description: long non-coding RNA NONRATT025307
Source: RNAcentral
GUCACACACAAGAAGUCUGGAGGACUUCCUGGGUGAGGUGGGUGGGGGAGCUGCCAGGACGAGACGAUGCUGUUGACGCUAUCACAACACUAAAUAACUCCUUCACAUUUUCCUACAUACCAGGACUGCAGAUUUGUACUUUCCCAGAUUGUCUAUAGCCACAACCUAUGAUCUGAAGACCAUCCUGAGCACACUGGGCAUCACCGAGGUCUUCAGCAAGGAGGCUGACCUCUCAGGGGUCACACAGGAUGCUCCCCUGAAGCUCGGCAAGGCUGUGCACAAGACUGUACUGACCUUUGAAGAUGAUGUGACAGUACCUACAAGGAACACCAGUUGGAGUAAGAGGGACUCGCCUCAAAACUUUUCAAUCCAUUUCAAC